RNAcentral lists this non-coding RNA (27 nucleotides) under Bombyx mori (domestic silkworm). The record is from RNAcentral. Lineage: Eukaryota; Metazoa; Arthropoda; Insecta; Lepidoptera; Bombycidae.
UAAAGCUAUGGUCAGUACUGGAACUAC